UACGGAGGGUGCAAGCGUUAAUCGGAAUUACUGGGCGUAAAGCGCACGUAGGUGGUUUGUUAAGCCAGCUGCGAAAUCCCCGGGCUCAACCUGGGCACUGCAGUUGGAACUGGCAAGCUAGAGUAGGGUAGAGGGGUGUGGAAUUCCAGGUGUAGCGGUGAAAUGCGUAGAUAUCUGGAGGAGUACCGGUGGCGAAGGCGGCCUCCUGGUUCAAUACUGACGCUGAGGUGCGAAAGCGUGGGGAGCAAACAGG
Molecule: ribosomal RNA, 253 nt
Filed under: uncultured bacterium
Lineage: Bacteria
Description: partial 16S ribosomal RNA
Rfam family: Bacterial small subunit ribosomal RNA
Source: RNAcentral